UGCGCGGCGAGCGACGCGAACGCCGCCUACUGCGAGUGAGCGCCGUCACGGCCGGGCGGCGUCUCGCGGUGCUCGGCUCGCCGGUCGCGCAU
RNAcentral lists this transfer RNA (92 nucleotides) under Herbiconiux sp. L3-i23. Its description in RNAcentral is "tRNA-Arg". The record is from RNAcentral. Lineage: Bacteria; Bacillati; Actinomycetota; Actinomycetes; Micrococcales; Microbacteriaceae.